UUAAGUGACUAAGCGUACACGGUGGAUGCCUUGGCAGUCAGAGGCGAUGAAAGACGUAGUAACUUGCGAUAAGCCCAGAUUAGGUAGUAACAACCAUUUGAGUCUGGGAUUUCUGAAUGGGGAAACCCACGUGCAUAAGCACGUAUCCUUACCUGAAUACAUAGGGUAAGGAGGCGAACCGGGGGAACUGAAACAUCUAAGUACCCCGAGGAAAAGAAAUCAACCGAGAUUCCGAAAGUAGCGGCGAGCGAAAUUGGACUAGCCCUUAAGCUUUACACGCGUUAGACGAACGGUCUGGAAAGUCCGACGAUACAGGGUGAUAGUCCCGUAGUUGACGACGUGUGUUCAGUGAAAUCGAGUAGGGCGGGACACGUGAUAUCCUGUCUGAAUAUGGGGGGACCAUCCUCCAAGGCUAAAUACUACUGACUGACCGAUAGUGAACCAGUACCGUGAGGGAAAGGCGAAAAGAACCCCUGUGAGGGGAGUGAAAUAGAACCUGAAACCGUGUACGUACAAGCAGUAGGAGCAGGCUUUGUCCUGUGACUGCGUACCUUUUGUAUAAUGGGUCAGCGACUUAUAUUCAGUGGCAAGGUUAACCAUCUAGGGGAGCCGUAGGGAAACCGAGUCUUAACUGGGCGUUCAGUCUCUGGAUAUAGACCCGAAACCAGGUGAUCUAGCCAUGGGCAGGUUGAAGGUUGAGUAACAUCAACUGGAGGACCGAACCGACUAAUGUUGAAAAAUUAGCGGAUGACUUGUGGCUAGGGGUGAAAGGCCAAUCAAACCUGGAGAUAGCUGGUUCUCCCCGAAAGCUAUUUAGGUAGCGCCUCGGACGAAUACUACUGGGGGUAGAGCACUGUUAAGGCUAGGGGGUCAUCCCGACUUACCAACCCUUUGCAAACUCCGAAUACCAGUAAGUACUAUCCGGGAGACACACGGCGGGUGCUAACGUCCGUCGUGGAGAGGGAAACAACCCAGACCGCCAGCUAAGGUCCCAAAUUACUACUAAGUGGGAAACGAUGUGGGAAGGCUCAGACAGCCAGGAUGUUGGCUUAGAAGCAGCCAUCAUUUAAAGAAAGCGUAAUAGCUCACUGGUCGAGUCGGCCUGCGCGGAAGAUGUAACGGGGCUAAGUAGUAAACCGAAGCUGCGGCAAUAUACUUUUGUAUAUUGGGUAGGGGAGCGUUCUGUAAGCGGUUGAAGGUGUGUGGUAACGCAUGCUGGACGUAUCAGAAGUGCGAAUGCUGACAUGAGUAACGAUAAAGGGGGUGAAAAACCUCCUCGCCGGAAGACCAAGGGUUCCUGUCCAACGUUAAUCGGGGCAGGGUAAGUCGACCCCUAAGGCGAGGCCGAAAGGCGUAGUCGAUGGGAAACGGGUUAAUAUUCCCGUACUUCUUACAAUUGCGAUGGGGGGACGGAGAAGGCUAGGUGGGCCUGGCGACGGUUGUCCAGGUUCAAGUGCGUAGGCUUAAGAGUUAGGUAAAUCCGGCUCUUUCUAAGGCUGAGACACGACGUCGAGCACCUACGGGUGUGAAGUCAUUGAUGCCAUGCUUCCAGGAAAAGCCUCUAAGCUUCAGAUUGUAAGGAAUCGUACCCCAAACCGACACAGGUGGUCGGGUAGAGAAUACCAAGGCGCUUGAGAGAACUCGGGUGAAGGAACUAGGCAAAAUGGUACCGUAACUUCGGGAGAAGGUACGCUCUUGAUGGUGAAGUCCCUUGCGGAUGGAGCUGACGAGAGUCGCAGAUACCAGGUGGCUGCAACUGUUUAUUAAAAACACAGCACUGUGCAAAAUCGUAAGAUGACGUAUACGGUGUGACGCCUGCCCGGUGCCGGAAGGUUAAUUGAUGGGGUUAGACUUCGGUCGAAGCUCUUGAUCGAAGCCCCGGUAAACGGCGGCCGUAACUAUAACGGUCCUAAGGUAGCGAAAUUCCUUGUCGGGUAAGUUCCGACCUGCACGAAUGGCGUAAUGAUGGCCACGCUGUCUCCACCCGAGACUCAGUGAAAUUGAAAUCGCUGUGAAGAUGCAGUGUACCCGCGGCUAGACGGAAAGACCCCGUGAACCUUUACUACAGCUUGGCACUGAACAUUGACCCUACAUGUGUAGGAUAGGUGGGAGGCUUUGAAGCACGUACGCCAGUAUGUGUGGAGCCGUCCUUGAAAUACCACCCUUGUAGUGUUGAUGUUCUAACGUCGACCCCUUAUCGGGGUUGCGGACAGUGCCUGGUGGGUAGUUUGACUGGGGCGGUCUCCUCCCAAAGAGUAACGGAGGAGCACGAAGGUGGGCUAAUCACGGUUGGACAUCGUGAGGUUAGUGCAAUGGCAUAAGCCCGCUUGACUGCGAGAAUGACAAUUCGAGCAGGUGCGAAAGCAGGUCAUAGUGAUCCGGUGGUUCUGAAUGGAAGGGCCAUCGCUCAACGGAUAAAAGGUACUCCGGGGAUAACAGGCUGAUACCGCCCAAGAGUUCAUAUCGACGGCGGUGUUUGGCACCUCGAUGUCGGCUCAUCACAUCCUGGGGCUGAAGUCGGUCCCAAGGGUAUGGCUGUUCGCCAUUUAAAGUGGUACGCGAGCUGGGUUUAGAACGUCGUGAGACAGUUCGGUCCCUAUCUGCCGUGGGCGUUGGAAGAUUGAAGGGGGCUGCUCCUAGUACGAGAGGACCGGAGUGGACGAACCUCUGGUGUUCGGGUUGUGUCGCCAGACGCAUUGCCCGGUAGCUAAGUUCGGAAUCGAUAACCGCUGAAAGCAUCUAAGCGGGAAGCGAGCCCUGAGAUGAGUCUUCCCUGAUACUUUAAGUAUCCUAAAGGGUUGUCGGAGACUACGACGUUGAUAGGUCAGGUGUGUAAGUGCUGUGAGGCAUUGAGCUAACUGAUACUAAUUGCCCGUGAGGCUUAACCAU
RNAcentral lists this ribosomal RNA (2889 nucleotides) under Vibrio parahaemolyticus 10290. Its description in RNAcentral is "bacterial LSU rRNA". It matches the Rfam family "Bacterial large subunit ribosomal RNA". The record is from RNAcentral. Lineage: Bacteria; Pseudomonadati; Pseudomonadota; Gammaproteobacteria; Vibrionales; Vibrionaceae.